GAUGAAGAACGCAGCGAAAUGCGAUACUUGGUGUGAAUUGCAGAAUCCCGUGAACCAUCGAGUCUUUGAACGCAAGUUGCGCCCGAGGCCUUCUGGCCGAGGGCACGUCUGCCUGGGCGUCACGCCAAAAGACACUCCCAACCCACCCAAGGGGAGGGACGUGGUGUUUGGCUCCCCGUGCCGCAGGGCGCGGUGGGCCGAAGUUGGGGCUGCCGGCGAAUCGUGUCGGGCACAGCACGUGGUGGGCGACUCCCGUUGUUCUCGGUGCAGCGCCCCGGCACGCGGCCGGCGUAUCGGCCCUGAGGACCCAUCGAGCACCGAAGCGCUUCGCCGCUCGGACCGCGACCCCAGGUCAGUCGGGACUACCCGCUGAGUUUAAGCAUAUCAAUAAGCGGAGGA
RNAcentral lists this unclassified non-coding RNA (399 nucleotides) under soil metagenome. RNAcentral describes it as "partial contains 5.8S ribosomal RNA, internal transcribed spacer 2, and large subunit ribosomal RNA". The stretch from base 1 to 122 matches the Rfam family "5.8S ribosomal RNA", at positions 35 to 154 of the family's 154-position model. The record is from RNAcentral.